Long non-coding RNA from Hyla sarda, 635 nucleotides. RefSeq lists it as uncharacterized. Lineage: Eukaryota; Metazoa; Chordata; Amphibia; Anura; Hylidae. The record is from RefSeq and is a predicted model, not a curated record. The transcript is spliced from 3 exons.
UGAAAACAUAGGAGGAGGUGAAGGGGUUACAGAGAAGUGAUUGGAUGAAGAGACCCAGAGAAGAGACCCAGAGAAGUGAUUGGAUGAAGAGACCCAAUCACAGACUCAAGGAGGAAGUGAAUGCAUGGUAUGCUUUAAUAGACUGGGGGCUGAUUAGUCCCGAUUUGUAGAGGACCAUGACCUAAUUUUUAUCGUUCAUGCGCAACGUCCCUGUGCGUCGUCGUCAAGGCAACGUCACUAGUCCGGGCGGGGCCCGAAGCGCGAGCAGAGGCCCCCCCCGGUGAAAAUGGACAGCCCGCAAAGACUAAUCCUCCCCACCGGAUGGUCCCUGCAGCAUAGAUGGCCCGGACCAGCUCACCCUAACUUCCCGCCGAGGGGAGUUAUAGGAGGAUGGCAAUAAAAAAAAACGGGAAAAAGAUGCAGCUCAGCUCACCAUCCGGUGUGACCUAAGUUCAAGGACGGAUUAUCAAAUCUUGAUGCAUGGAGCUCGGACUGCAGAAAGCGGGCCAUAUCUUGUUUAAACAAGUAGAUGAAAGGUUAAAGGCUCCUCCAGCUCAUGGCAUGAUAGCUCAGAAUGCGUUGGUGUUUUGCUUGUUGUUUUUUUUUACUUUUAAUGCAUAUGCAAUAAACCUAUG